AUCCUGGCUCAGGAAGAACGCUAGCGGCAGGCCUUAUACAUGCAAGUCGAGGGGCAGCAUUACUUCGGUAAAUGGCGACCGGCGCACGGGUGAGUAACGCGUAUGCAACCUACCUUCAACUGGGGCAUAGCUCGAGAAAACUCGAAUUAAUUCCCCAUAGUACGUUAUAAUAUCUCAUGAUAUAAAUGUUAAAGAUUUAUCGGUUAAAGAUGGGCAUGCGUCUGAUUAGUUUGUUGGUAAGGUAACGGCUUACCAAGACUACGAUCAGUACGGGGUCUGAGAGGAUGAUCCCCCACACUGGUACUGAGACACGGACCAGACAUCUACGGAUGGCAGCAGUAAUGAAUAUUGGGCAAUGGGCGCAAGCCUUGACCCAGCCAUGCCGCGUGCAGGAUGACGACCCUAUGGGUUGUCAACUGCUUUUAUAUAGGAAGAAAAUACUCUUGCGAGAGGAUCUGACGGUACUAU
Molecule: ribosomal RNA, 468 nt
Filed under: uncultured bacterium
Lineage: Bacteria
Description: bacterial SSU rRNA
Rfam family: Bacterial small subunit ribosomal RNA
Source: RNAcentral